Molecule: ribosomal RNA, 1539 nt
Filed under: Klebsiella variicola
Lineage: Bacteria; Pseudomonadati; Pseudomonadota; Gammaproteobacteria; Enterobacterales; Enterobacteriaceae
Description: bacterial SSU rRNA
Rfam family: Bacterial small subunit ribosomal RNA
Source: RNAcentral
AAAUUGAAGAGUUUGAUCAUGGCUCAGAUUGAACGCUGGCGGCAGGCCUAACACAUGCAAGUCGAGCGGUAGCACAGAGAGCUUGCUCUCGGGUGACGAGCGGCGGACGGGUGAGUAAUGUCUGGGAAACUGCCUGAUGGAGGGGGAUAACUACUGGAAACGGUAGCUAAUACCGCAUAACGUCGCAAGACCAAAGUGGGGGACCUUCGGGCCUCAUGCCAUCAGAUGUGCCCAGAUGGGAUUAGCUGGUAGGUGGGGUAACGGCUCACCUAGGCGACGAUCCCUAGCUGGUCUGAGAGGAUGACCAGCCACACUGGAACUGAGACACGGUCCAGACUCCUACGGGAGGCAGCAGUGGGGAAUAUUGCACAAUGGGCGCAAGCCUGAUGCAGCCAUGCCGCGUGUGUGAAGAAGGCCUUCGGGUUGUAAAGCACUUUCAGCGGGGAGGAAGGCGAUAAGGUUAAUAACCUUGUCGAUUGACGUUACCGCAGAAGAAGCACCGGCUAACUCCGUGCCAGCAGCCGCGGUAAUACGGAGGGUGCAAGCGUUAAUCGGAAUUACUGGGCGUAAAGCGCACGCAGGCGGUCUGUCAAGUCGGAUGUGAAAUCCCCGGGCUCAACCUGGGAACUGCAUUCGAAACUGGCAGGCUAGAGUCUUGUAGAGGGGGGUAGAAUUCCAGGUGUAGCGGUGAAAUGCGUAGAGAUCUGGAGGAAUACCGGUGGCGAAGGCGGCCCCCUGGACAAAGACUGACGCUCAGGUGCGAAAGCGUGGGGAGCAAACAGGAUUAGAUACCCUGGUAGUCCACGCUGUAAACGAUGUCGAUUUGGAGGUUGUGCCCUUGAGGCGUGGCUUCCGGAGCUAACGCGUUAAAUCGACCGCCUGGGGAGUACGGCCGCAAGGUUAAAACUCAAAUGAAUUGACGGGGGCCCGCACAAGCGGUGGAGCAUGUGGUUUAAUUCGAUGCAACGCGAAGAACCUUACCUGGUCUUGACAUCCACAGAACUUUCCAGAGAUGGAUUGGUGCCUUCGGGAACUGUGAGACAGGUGCUGCAUGGCUGUCGUCAGCUCGUGUUGUGAAAUGUUGGGUUAAGUCCCGCAACGAGCGCAACCCUUAUCCUUUGUUGCCAGCGGUUAGGCCGGGAACUCAAAGGAGACUGCCAGUGAUAAACUGGAGGAAGGUGGGGAUGACGUCAAGUCAUCAUGGCCCUUACGACCAGGGCUACACACGUGCUACAAUGGCAUAUACAAAGAGAAGCGACCUCGCGAGAGCAAGCGGACCUCAUAAAGUAUGUCGUAGUCCGGAUUGGAGUCUGCAACUCGACUCCAUGAAGUCGGAAUCGCUAGUAAUCGUAGAUCAGAAUGCUACGGUGAAUACGUUCCCGGGCCUUGUACACACCGCCCGUCACACCAUGGGAGUGGGUUGCAAAAGAAGUAGGUAGCUUAACCUUCGGGAGGGCGCUUACCACUUUGUGAUUCAUGACUGGGGUGAAGUCGUAACAAGGUAACCGUAGGGGAACCUGCGGUUGGAUCACCUCCUUA